RNAcentral lists this ribosomal RNA (485 nucleotides) under Clostridioides difficile. RNAcentral describes it as "partial 23S ribosomal RNA". It matches the Rfam family "Bacterial large subunit ribosomal RNA", at positions 1711 to 2207 of the family's 2925-position model. The record is from RNAcentral. Lineage: Bacteria; Bacillati; Bacillota; Clostridia; Peptostreptococcales; Peptostreptococcaceae.
AACUCGGCAAAAUGACCCCGUAACUUAGGGAUAAGGGGUGCCACCAUCAGGUGGCCGCAGAGAAUAGGCCCAAGCGACUGUUUACCAAAAACAUAGGUUUCUGCUAAGUCGCAAGACGAUGUAUAGGCGCUGACGCCUGCCCGGUGCUGGAAGGUUAAGGGGAUCUGUUAGAGCAAUCGAAGCAGUGAACUUAAGCCCCAGUAAACGGCGGCCGUAACUAUAACGGUCCUAAGGUAGCGAAAUUCCUUGUCGGGUAAGUUCCGACCCGCACGAAAGGCGUAACGAUUUGGGCACUGUCUCAACAACAGACUCGGUGAAAUUGUAAUUCCGGUGAAGAUGCCGGAUACCUGCGACAGGACGGAAAGACCCCAUGGAGCUUUACUGUAGCUUGACAUUGGGUCUUGGUACUACAUGUACAGGAUAGGAGGUAUGAUUGGAGACCAGGACGCCAGUUGUGGCGGAGACAUACUUGGGAUACCACCCUU